Molecule: ribosomal RNA, 372 nt
Filed under: uncultured organism
Description: bacterial SSU rRNA
Rfam family: Bacterial small subunit ribosomal RNA
Source: RNAcentral
CAGAGGGUGCAAACGUUGUUCGGAUUUACUGGGCGUAAAGCGCGUGUAGGUGGCUUUGCAAGUCGGAUGUGAAAUCCCACGGCUCAACCGUGGAAGUGCAUCCGAAACUGCAUCGCUGGAGUCUCGGAGAGGAAGGUGGAAUGCUUGGUGUAGAGGUGAAAUUCGUAGAUAUCAAGCAGAACACCUGCGGCGAAGGCGGCCUUCUGGACGAUGACUGACGCUGAGACGCGAAAGCGUGGGGAGCAAACAGGAUUAGAUACCCUGGUAGUCCACGCCGUAAACGAUGAGUGCUAGGUGUCACGGGCUUUGACCCUCGUGGUGCCGUAGCUAACGCAAUAAGCACUCCGCCUGGGGAGUACGGCCGCAAGGCUA